This is a long non-coding RNA of Helianthus annuus (common sunflower), 580 nucleotides long. RefSeq lists it as uncharacterized. NCBI's taxonomy places the organism in Eukaryota, Viridiplantae, Streptophyta, Magnoliopsida, Asterales, Asteraceae. The transcript has 2 exons. The record is from RefSeq and is a predicted model, not a curated record.
CCCUAAAAAUUUUAGGUUUCCAUCUUAUUCUCAAUUUUGGAUGUGGGGUUUCUCCGGCAAAGGGGGCUAGUAAGAUAGAGAAAAUAUCAUCGGCUCCUUCCCGACGACCACAUCGAUCUCUCUCGCGGUCACGUGUUCUUCCCCCUCCGGCCAACUGCUCUUCGUCAAUGGUAUCUCGCUCGCUUCACAUUAUCACUAUGUUCUGUGAGUGAAUCAGUUGCUUUAUCCACUCUCCAAAUUCAUACACUCUACAAAGAGUGCUGCUCUUUUGGUGGCACAACGACUGUUAAGUGGCAUCAACUAAACCCCGUGAAACGGCAUCAUUACCACACCAAAAGACAUGAAUGCUUAUGAAAAGAGUAGAAUGACAAGGAUUCAAGAGAACCAAAAAAAAUUACAAGCUUUGAGAUUGAAAAAUAUUGCUAAAUCUUUGACAAGUCUAGCAGAGAGAGAAAAAACAAAGAAAAAGAAAAAGAAAUCAAUGGAUACCAGUGAGAAAGAUAUAGAUGUAGAGUAUAUGCCUGGUUCUGAUGUUGAUGUUGAGCAAGAUUAUCAAGAAGCAACAAAAAUCUCUAAAAAG